CCUACGGGAGGCAGCAGUGGGGAAUCUUGCGCAAUGGGCGAAAGCCUGACGCAGCAACGCCGCGUGCGGGAAGAAGGCUUUCGGGCUGUAAACCGCUUUCAGCAGGAACGAAAAUGACGGUACCUGCAGAAGAAGGAGCGGCCAACUAUGUGCCAGCAGCCGCGGUGAUACAUAGGCUUCAAGCGUUGUCCGGAUUUAUUGGGCGUAAAGAGUUCGUAGGCGGUCGAGUAAGUCGGGUGUGAAAAUUCUGGGCUCAACCCAGAGACGCCACCCGAUACUGCUUAACUUGAGUUCGAUAGGGGAGUGGGGAAUUCCUAGUGUAGCGGUGAAAUGCGCAGAUAUUAGGAGGAACACCGGUGGCGAAGGCGCCACUCUGGAUCGAUACUGACGCUGAGGAACGAAAGCAUGGGUAGCAAACAGGAUUAGAUACCCUGGUAGUCCAUGCCGUAAACGGUGGGCACUAGGUGUGGGAUUACUAUUAACGUAUUCGUCGCCGUCGCUACGCAUAAGUCGCCCGCCGUCGGGUAGGUACGGUCGCGAACGAACGUAAAACUUAAAAGUAGAAGUUAAGUACGGUCGUUGAGUACGUUGCCGAACGGACGACGACGAGGGAGGUUAGG
RNAcentral lists this ribosomal RNA (620 nucleotides) under uncultured bacterium. RNAcentral describes it as "bacterial SSU rRNA". The stretch from base 1 to 519 matches the Rfam family "Bacterial small subunit ribosomal RNA", at positions 338 to 873 of the family's 1533-position model. The record is from RNAcentral.